This 1313-nucleotide long non-coding RNA is filed under the name Triticum aestivum (bread wheat). RNAcentral describes it as "long non-coding RNA (TAES_LNC007948)". Lineage: Eukaryota; Viridiplantae; Streptophyta; Magnoliopsida; Poales; Poaceae. The record is from RNAcentral.
AGGGUGACCACGGGCAUUCAGUCGUAUGACACACCGCUCCCACCGGUGAGGCCAAAUCCCCAUACUAUUCAUCCAAAUCUGUGUUCUCUGAAUGACGUGCGGUGAGCUUCAUAGUUGGGUACAGACUCCUGUUUAAAGGCUUCGAUCUACAAAGUUUCCGGGAUGGAUGAGUGAUGUGACUAAUUAGUUCAAGCUUCUAUUCUUGAUUUCUGUUUCUUCUGAAAAUUGGAAGGUUUCCAUGUGGUUUCAGUGAAAUUUAUUGAUUUGAGAUAAGUUUGAUUGAUCUGAAGAAAUUUUUAUUGAUCCCAAGUGACAUAUGAUGGGUGUACUUAGAAUAAUGGAUCUGCUCUCAGUUUUUAUGAGUUCAUUUCAUUGUGCAAGAUUUUCCAGUGAUUACUAUAAAUUUUCAGAUAUAGCAUUGUCAAUCGUCUGACUAUCGCUUGUGAACAUUACAGGCAGAACCAAUAUUCAUGUGCUUGAAAAAGAUCGGACAGUGAAGACUGAAGAACAUGGGGGUGCAAGGGCACAUCCUGUAUUCUUGAUAUAAUUGUAGGAAGUAUGUAAAUAAGGUUUCUCAAAGUGACACUGACAAAGCUUAUGCAUGAGAUGGAGCAUCAUUGUACAUUACUUUGCAGGUUUCAAGCCUUUUGAUGGAAGCUUCUGUAUGUGAUGGAAGCUCCUGUAUGUGGGGCCAUUGAUAAUACAACCUUCCCUAUUCUGUUGUGACUCUUCUUUUUUGUAGAUUUUUCUAUUUACUCUGUAGUUCAAAGCUGCUGCUUUUGUGAAUUUAAUUUGAGAGGCAGGAGAUGUAUUUGUUGGUUAUGUAACUGAAUUUGGACCUCAUAAUCAGCUAUUAAUUUUCUCUCUGGAAAUUUUGAUAGAGAAGAUUAAUAUUCCAAACGUAUUCACAUGAGGUUUUAUGCUCUUUACGGUUCUGCAGCUAUCUCUGCAGGUAUUUUUGUGAUUCAGUUUCAUAGCAUUUAUGCCAUGGCAGCAAGGUGCUGGGUAAAUGGUCCUCUUGACCUAUUCUACCUUGGAAUAAGGUUGGGCCAGAUUUUAUUCAAAUGAACAUUGUAAAGUCUGUACUGUCAUGUUUUAGACAUGUCAAAAUUUCAGACCAAACAAGUUUCCUACUUCUCCCCUUCAUGAACUCUUCAUUUUGUUCCUUAAUAUCAUUUAGUUUUGCCAUUUGUAUUUGUGUGAUUGGUAGAUAAAAGUUUGCAUAGUUGCACUUAGCGUUUAUAGUACUAUAUAUUCAGCUGAUCGUACAAGAACCAUCUUUGUAGCAGAUCCAGGUUUUUAUGUGUCUCCCU